Molecule: regulatory RNA element, 141 nt
Organism: Modestobacter marinus
Lineage: Bacteria; Bacillati; Actinomycetota; Actinomycetes; Geodermatophilales; Geodermatophilaceae
Rfam family: c-di-AMP riboswitch aptamer (ydaO/yuaA leader)
About the family: This family represents a conserved RNA structure found upstream of the ydaO and yuaA genes in Bacillus subtilis and related genes in other bacteria. The ydaO/yuaA element is thought to act as a genetic "off" switch for the ydaO and yuaA genes in its native state.
Source: Rfam
CCGGUGGGCACGCCGAACCGCUGAGGCAUCGCCGAGGCGGACCGGGGACCCACGUCCCUCGGGGUGAAUCCUGCACACGCAGGUAGGGCAGCUUCCCGUCCGAACCCGUCAGCUAACCCGGUAGGCAGUCAGGAAGAACGG